CACCCAGCUGCCCUUCCAGGACCAGCCUCAAAUCCAGACAAGUGACAGACUCACGGGGGGCAGGCGCCAGUGUGAGUGGAAAUCACUGGAUCGAUGAUCAAGGGGAUUGUUGCCCAGCUUUCAGUGGCGCGUUGGAGUCUUUUGAGGAAUUCAUCUUGAAACCCGGGAUUUAUUGAGAGCUAAAAGGUUUUUGAAGUUUCCAGUGUUUCCCUUCACAUAUCAAAAGUAAAACGAGGAGGUUUUACUCCAAGCCGUGAUGUUGAAAGAAACAAGACAUAUGGUGCAGAGUUUCCCUCCCAAGGAAGGCGAAAACCUCUUUCAGUCACUGAAGAGUGGGGCACAGAGAGGAGGCAGAGGUUCCAAUGUGAGAGCCCUUGCUCUGUUCUGGAGGAUGAAUUCCCUUUGGUCUACAGAAACAGCCAAAUAUAUUGGGCUGUCCCUGGGUCCCAAACUGCUUCCUUGGGUCCAGCUUGGGGCGACUCUAGGUGUGUCAGAGAUGUGCUCAUUCAGCACAGCAUCACGUCCAUCAUGGCAAGAAGCAAGGGCCCACCGUGGAAGAGGAAGGUGCCUGGAGAAAUGGUUCUAGCAGCACAGUUCCUGGGAUUUGUAUGUGGUGUCAGCAGAUCCAGGAGUUCUGACGUGUCCCAGUGAGGGAACAUGGCUGUGGAGAAAGGUGUGCUGGAUGGGGAGAGGUCUGGGGUCAGAGGAACAGGGGGUCCUUGUGGCCACAGUCGGUGGUGAGGUCCCUGGUCCUUGGUGGCAGGAACCAUUGAAACGCCUUAAAAGUCCAGGACCCAUCAUCUAAGACUCCUCAAGACUACAGCGCCGAGGCAAGCAGCAUUGCCUUGUUGAUUUUGUUCUUAGAAUAUAAAUGUCGGAAUAAUGAUAGCUACUAUGGCUGAGCAGAAUGGCUUCACGAUUCUAAAAGUCUGCCAGAUGUUAGUGCUAAGUCCAACCAGGGCUUUGUGAACUCUUCUGAGAGGUCGUAAAGACAAAGGCUUUGGAGUCAGAUGGACCUGGGGUUACCCCUGGCUCUGCCAUCUACUUACUCUGCAACCUUGGGGACAUCUGCCUUGCAGGAUUUUGGGGAGGAUUAGCAAACAUGUGUAAAUCACCUUAAGUCUAUGCGUAUGCUCAGUACAGAGAAGAUAACUCAAGAAAUGGAUGUUGUUCUUUUUUAAAAAAAUUGAAAGGUAGUUUGUUUAGUGUUGUGUUUCAAGUAUACGGCAGAGUGAUUUGGGUCACUUUCAUAUAUACAGAUUCUUUCUAUGCAUUACGAGAUAUUGAUUCUAGCUCCUUGUGCUAUACAGUAGGUCCUUGUUGUUCACCAUUUGUAUACACAGUGGUGUGUAUAUGUUAGUACCAAACUCCUAAAAUAUCUCCCCACCCCUUCCUGCUGUCGCCUUUGGUAAUCAUAAAUUUGUUUUCUU
RNAcentral lists this long non-coding RNA (1430 nucleotides) under Sus scrofa (pig). Its description in RNAcentral is "lncRNA (ENSSSCG00000060818.1)". The record is from RNAcentral. Lineage: Eukaryota; Metazoa; Chordata; Mammalia; Artiodactyla; Suidae.